RNAcentral lists this ribosomal RNA (376 nucleotides) under uncultured bacterium. RNAcentral describes it as "bacterial SSU rRNA". It matches the Rfam family "Bacterial small subunit ribosomal RNA", at positions 335 to 696 of the family's 1533-position model. The record is from RNAcentral.
ACUCCUACGGGAGGCAGCAGUAGGGAAUCUUCCACAAUGGACGAAAGUCUGAUGGAGCAACGCCGCGUGAACGAUGAAGGCCUUCGGGUCGUAAAGUUCUGUUGUAAAGGGAAGAACAAGUGCCGCAGGCAAUGGCGGCACCUUGACGGUACCUUGCGAGAAAGCCACGGCUAACUACGUGCCAGCAGCCGCGGUAAUACGUAGGUGGCAAGCGUUGUCCGGAAUUAUUGGGCGUAAAGCGCGCGCAGGCGGCCUCUUAAGUCUGAUGUGAAACGCCCCCCGGCUCGAACCCGGGGGAGGGCCAUUGGAAACUGGGAGGCUUUGAGUAGUAGGAGAGAAGAGUGGAAUUCCAGUGUAGCGGUGAAAUGCAUAGAGA